UGCAAUCCAUAACAGCCCAGAGGUUUUGUUGGUGGUUUAUAGCAUGUUCUCUCUCUGGCUUUUUUUUGUAGGUCUUCAAAAAAAACUUUACAAAUGGGCUGUGUACAAGAAGCUUACGUGAGUCUACAUAAGGAAUUUUCACUGGGAAACUUUACUGAAUCCUGCACAUUGCUGUAAUAACAAAUAAAGGCUUAGAAAGAGGAUGAGCUCUUGGCACCUACUCUACAGGGUUGCCCUGGUUCUGUGCCUGGCAGGCUGACUUUGCUCUGAAGUGCACCAGCUCUCCAUACCUUGUAUGUUUUAAUGCCGACACUGAUCUUCAAUCAGCCUUGCUCUGGCCUUCCAGUGAAAAUACGCCAAAAUGUCAUAGGUUUCCAAAUGAAAUGCAAAUACUGAACUUUCUGAAAUUUACUGAUAGUAUUUUACUCCUUUACUGCAUCUGAGCUGUACCAAUGAGGCACAACGGAAGCAAGGGUUUAAGAUUUCUGACAGCAAAGGUCUUUGCACUUGCCACUCCACACGUGUCUCAGCUGGAUGGUCCGUGACACCUUGAUGGUCUUAAAGGUCUUUUCCAACCUAAAUGAUUCUACAGUUCUACGUCCCAUGAAGAAUAUGAGUCGUCUGCUUGCUUGCUCACUCAGCAUAAUGAAAUGAAGCAAUGAAAUACUCAAAGUCAGAGCCAUUUUCACUGUGUAACACUGCUGCUGUAUAUUUGGUUACCUAUGUACAGAUCCAAGGAUAAAUUUUGGCCCUGACCAUGGAAUAUUUACUCACUUUCAAAUACGGAUGUGACCUGCCUUUUCCUUCUGCGACUAACAGGGUGACCAGAGGCAGUGGAAUGUACACCAGGGUUGGAAAGAAUAAAACCAGAGGGAAAGCAAGCUGUCAAGAGAACAGUGUACUGAAGAGAAAAAAUGUAAAACGUGACUUCUAUUUACCAUGAUUAAUAUGUAAAGUUAACUUGUUUGUCAUGGAAUAUAUUAAUAUGUAUGUUUCCCCAUUAUGUAGAUCUUUUCUUAUAUUACUUAUUAGAAAGGGAUACAAUCACAAUGAUGGGGUACGAAUGCCACUUAAAAAUUAGGUGAUGCCCAGUCAACAUAAUAUAACCACUAAUGUCAUUUCUGAUUUAGAUGUGGUGAUAUCAGUGUAAUUGCCGCUGGGAAGAAAUUAAAAUGGCUGUUAAUGAUAAAUAAAAUGACAAGGAGGAGGAUCCUCCUUCA
Long non-coding RNA from Manacus vitellinus (golden-collared manakin), 1220 nucleotides. The record is from Ensembl. NCBI's taxonomy places the organism in Eukaryota, Metazoa, Chordata, Aves, Passeriformes, Pipridae.